This 305-nucleotide ribosomal RNA is filed under the name uncultured bacterium. RNAcentral describes it as "bacterial SSU rRNA". It matches the Rfam family "Bacterial small subunit ribosomal RNA", at positions 333 to 635 of the family's 1533-position model. The record is from RNAcentral.
GACUGCCUACGGGGCGCAGCAGUGAGGAAUAUUGGUCAAUGGGCGGGAGCCUGAACCAGCCAAGUCGCGUGAAGGAAGAAGGUACUUAGUAUUGUAAACUUCUUUUGUCGGGGAACAAAGGCGGAGACGCGUCUCCGGAUGAGUGUACCCGAAGAAAAGGCAUCGGCUAACUCCGUGCCAGCAGCCGCGGUAAUACGUAGGGGGCAAGCGUUAUCCGGAUUCACUGGGCGUAAAGGGAGCGCAGGCGGCACGGCAAGUCUGGUGUGAAAGCCCGGGGACCAACCCCGGGACUGCAUUGGAAACCG